RNAcentral lists this ribosomal RNA (253 nucleotides) under uncultured bacterium. Its description in RNAcentral is "partial 16S ribosomal RNA". It matches the Rfam family "Bacterial small subunit ribosomal RNA", at positions 524 to 776 of the family's 1533-position model. The record is from RNAcentral.
UACGUAGGUGGCAAGCGUUGUCCGGAUUUACUGGGCGUAAAGAGCGCGCAGGCGGUCGUUCAAGUCGCGUGUGAAAGCCCCCGGCUCAACUGGGGAGGGUCACGCGAUACUGAUCGACUCGAAGGCAGGAGAGGGUAGUGGAAUUCCCGGUGUAGUGGUGAAAUGCGUAGAUAUCGGGAGGAACACCAGUGGCGAAGGCGGCGACCUGGGUAGAUACUGACGCUGAGGUGCGAAAGCGUGGGGAGCAAACAGG